This 614-nucleotide ribosomal RNA is filed under the name uncultured bacterium. RNAcentral describes it as "bacterial SSU rRNA". It matches the Rfam family "Bacterial small subunit ribosomal RNA", at positions 338 to 946 of the family's 1533-position model. The record is from RNAcentral.
CCUACGGGAGGCAGCAGUAGGGAAUCUUCCGCAAUGGACGAAAGUCUGACGGAGCAACGCCGCGUGAACGAUGAAGGCCUUCGGGUCGUAAAGUUCUGUUGUUAGGGAAGAACAAGUGUUAGUUGAAUAAGCUGGCACCUUGACGGUACCUAACCAGAAAGCCACGGCUAACUACGUGCCAGCAGCCGCGGUAAUACGUAGGUGGCAAGCGUUGUCCGGAAUUAUUGGGCGUAAAGCGCGCGCAGGCGGUUUCUUAAGUCUGAUGUGAAAGCCCCCGGCUCAACCGGGGAGGGUCAUUGGAAACUGGGAAACUUGAGUGCAGAAGAGGAAAGUGGAAUUCCAAGUGUAGCGGUGAAAUGCGUAGAGAUUUGGAGGAACACCAGUGGCGAAGGCGACUUUCUGGUCUGUAACUGACGCUGAGGCGCGAAAGCGUGGGGAGCAAACAGGAUUAGAUACCCUGGUAGUCCACGCUGUAAACGAUGAGUGCUAAGUGUUAGAGGGUUUCCGCCCUUUAGUGCUGAAGUUAACGCAUUAAGCACUCCGCCUGGGGAGCGGUCGCAAGCUGAACUCAAAGGAUUGACGGCUGNGAGNGCGACGCGACGACGAGGGAGAGG